RNAcentral lists this ribosomal RNA (407 nucleotides) under uncultured bacterium. RNAcentral describes it as "partial 16S ribosomal RNA". It matches the Rfam family "Bacterial small subunit ribosomal RNA", at positions 30 to 526 of the family's 1533-position model. The record is from RNAcentral.
AUUGAACGCUGGCGGCAGGCCUAACACAUGCAAGUCGAGCGGAGCGGCGGACGGGUGAGUAAUGCCUAGGAAUCUGCCUGGUCGUGGGGGAUAACGUCCGGAAACGGGCGCUAAUACCGCAUACUAUCAGAUGAGCCUAGGUUGGGUUAGCUAGUUGUGGGGGUAAAGGCCUACCAAGGCGACGAUCCGUAACUGGUCUGAGAGGAUGAUCAGUCACACUGGAACGGGAACACGGUCCAGACUCCUACGGGAGGCAGCAUGGGGGAAGAUUGGAAAAGGGGCGAAAGCCUGAUCCAGCCAUGCCGCGUGUGUGAAGAAGGUCUUCGGAUUGGAAAGCAUUUUAAGUUGGGAGGCGUUACCAACAGAAUAAGCACCGGCUAACUUCGUGCCAGCAGCCGCGGUAAUAC